Molecule: ribosomal RNA, 465 nt
Filed under: Pseudomonas syringae
Lineage: Bacteria; Pseudomonadati; Pseudomonadota; Gammaproteobacteria; Pseudomonadales; Pseudomonadaceae
Description: partial 23S ribosomal RNA
Rfam family: Bacterial large subunit ribosomal RNA
Source: RNAcentral
GCUUUGAGGCUUUGGUGCCAGUCGGCGUGGUGCGACCCUUGCGAUCCCCCCUGGCGAACUUUGUGGUUCUAGCUGAGGGCCGUUAGCCGUAUCGCGGACGGUGGAUGGUGGGUAGUUGGCCUGGGGCGGUCUCCUCCUAAAGAGUAACGGAGGAGUACGAAGGUGCGCUCGUACCGGUCGGAAACGGGUCGUAGGGAAUAAAGGCAAAAGCGCGCUUGACUGCGUGACAGACACGUCGAGCAGGUACGAAAGUAGGUCUUAGUGACACGGUGGUUCUGUAUGGUAGGGCCAUCGCUCAACGGAUAAAUGGUAAUCCGGGGAUAACAGGAUGAUACCGCACAAGAGUUCAUAUCGACUGCGGUGUUUGUCACCUCGAUGUCGGAUAGUCACAUGCUGGGGCGGAAGGCGCUCUCUAGGGAAGAGCCGUGCGCCACACAACAUGGUACGCGAUACGGUUUUAGCACG